UGGGUUCGUUACUGAGCCACAAUGGGAACUCCUGGAAUUGGGUUUUGGGGGCCAAGGGGACCAGGGAGGAGAGCCACUGGAAAGGACAGAGGCACAAUUGUUCAGGGGAAAAGAUGGGCGGGGGCGCGGAGAAUGUUUUGUGAAAGUGGCCACCCUCAUGGAAGCCUUAAAGGUGGGUGGGGUGGGGCAAGAGGAGACUGGUCUGUCCUGCUCAGGCCUGGGGACCCUGGAACCCUGGUGAGGGCUUUGGAGCUGGCCAGGUGCCCAGGGGCCACCUCCCACCUCCAUUACCCUCAGAACGGAGAAGCCAAGAAAGGGAACCCAGCAAGGUACUCCCGUUUCAGUCUCUGGCAGGACGGUCCUGCGUAGAAUGUUCCUAUGGGGUAAAGGCGUUAUUACUUCUCUCCUCCUGGCCCAGGGCUUGAUGGCUGAGCAAACGCCUAUGCUUUAUAAGACUGAUGUGCUACCCUUUUUUUUUUUUUUCCCACUUUUGGCCGCCCCUGUGGCAUAUAGAGCUCCUGGGCCAGGGAUCAGACCUCAACCACAUUCAAGACCUAAGACUUAGCUGUGGCAAUGCUAGAUCCUUAACCCACUGUGCCGGGCUGGGGAUAGAACCCACGUCCCAGUGCUGCCAAGAUGCUGCCAAUCCCAUUGCACCACAGUGGGAGCUCCAUACCUGCUGCUUUAUGUAGUUGAUGUGGGGGGAGAAUGGAGCGGGUGGUCAAGCCCUUUGCUCCUUGAAAGGUCGAGCUUCUGGACUGGGACCAGGUCCAGCUAAUCCUGGGAUGGGCGCCUCCUCCUCCCUGCUCAGUCCUCCAGGCUGAAAACAACAGCCACCCCCAGGCACUGGACUGGGUGCUUGUUACAGCAACCCUGUGAGAUGGGAUCAUGAUAAACAUAUCACAGGGGAGGAAACUGAGGCUUCAGAGGUUAGGUGAAGAGUCCAGACUUAGCUAGAAAGGGGAGCAGUUGGACUUUAAAUGGUAAGAUACUGUUAAGGGAAAAAAGGUAGAACAUUUUUGGGUUUACGGUCUUUGGAGUUUAAAAAAAAAAAAAGAAAAAAUUUCAAAUCCAAUUUUGGACUUGCCAAGCACUUUGCAUGUAUUAUUUCUGUUUGUCUUUUCAAACAAUGCUAUAAAGUAUUCUGAUUCCUAUUUUAUGAAGGGGGAAAAAAGGGGGCUCAGGAAGGGGAAGGUUUACGUGGAAAUCUACCCAGGUAGCACAUCAUGGAGCUGGGCUCAGAAUCCAGUCUGGCUAUUCCCAGGGAGGAUUUUUGGAAUCUUGCUUCCUAGAAUCGACUCUCCCCUGGGCCAGGGAUUCUGUCUUUAGCUGCCUCAUAUUUUCAUUAAACCCGCCUCGGGUGCCCAGGCCCAACUCAGAAAGAUUUUGUGGGAAAGGCUGCCACCUUGUGGCCAAAGAGCAAGCCCACCAUUUAGCAGCUGGCUAUGACCUGGAAAGGCAGGGCUUUGGGAACAGGUGAAGUUGGUCUCCGAAGAGAGACUUCCGCUGGUGCAGACUUGCUUCUGGAAGGCUUCUCCACAGUCAGAGGGCCAGCUCCGGCAUCGCAGGGGUGGGGACUUCAGGUUCCCCAGCUGCUAAGGGUGGAAAGUGGACCUUGGCUGUGGGCACAGUGGACCGCAACUUUUCUGCAAAGUCCCGUUCGGGGAAUUCUGGAAGCUUCGGAAGUUGUCCGGGACAACGCUGUGUUUGGUCACUGGGACUGCUGAUGGAGGACUCAACGGCUUUCUUAGAUAGCCAGGCUUCACGUUGCUGAGAUUUCUGACCUUCAGAAGGAUGUCACCCUUUCCGAAGAUCCCUUGAGGCCGAGAGCAGCGCUCUCCCACCAAGAGUCCAGCAGGCCAGCCCGGCAAGCCUCGGCUUCCCAGUCCCUAUGAUCACAGAAAGGGCCUCUUAAAAGGUGAGCAUGACACAGCAACCCCGUAAGUUGCCAAAUCCUCUUAAUUGUGUGUAAGUAGCUCUCAGAUCUCCCUCUGUCUUCUCUGCUGGUGACUGCGUUUUUUUGUGUGUGGCUUACCCUUCUCCUCCGGUCCUGUCCCCUUCUGAUCUAUCUUCCUGGACACCCGAGGAAGCCUGAGCGGUCUUUCUAACGCGACAAAUCCCAACACAGGGCUCUCUGCACAUCAAACCCUGGAACAGCCCCCCAUUGUCCUCAGGAUAAAUGCAGGUCUGCAAACGAUUCCCUUCCUCCUGCUGCCCCUGACCAAGUGGCUCUUUCUUGCAGUAUAACGCGCCCUCGCCUCCAGCAACAUUGAGUGAGUUUUCUGAAAAACCAUCCCCUGUUUUGUUUUUUUUGGGGGGUGGGGGGGGGCUCCGUGGCUUUUCCCAGGUGUCACACUCUGUCUGACUGCCCCUUGCUGACCGCUUUGCCUGCCUAAUUCCGACUGCCCCGUAGACGUGAGUCUACCUCUUCUGUGAAGCAACCCUUGGCCCCAACUGGGAUGGCAGAGGCCCUGCUAUGUGGUCACCCAAUCUUUCAUGUUCAUUGGCUUCUGAGGCGCCCAGAGAGCCAACGUCUCCUGGGCUUCCCUGCAGGUAAGUUGAAGUCCCCCCACCGUGGGCUCGCCAGGAGGGAUGGCGGAGCCCUGCUGUGUCUAGGUGGGCUCAUGAAGGCCCUCAUUCCUGGGUUUAUUUGUUCACACUUGUUAACCGAUCCCAGCCCACCCUCUUCGGACUGAUGGAGUGACGCCCCCCUCCCCCCUUGUGCUCCGGGCCUCCGUGACAGUGCUCGUCACACGUGACCCUCCACCUUCCCCUGAUGGCUCCCUGGCAAUUUCCAGGAGUUGCUUUUAUUUCAUUCACUAAACAAUUUAUGAAUUGAAUUAAAAUAAAUGAGAUGCAAAUAAAUUCCAGGCUUUCUCCCUCAUUUUCAAAUUACAUUUUCAGUCCACUCAACCUGUUAUAAUCUCAUAGUGAUUUUCAUUUAAGAGAGCUAAAUGGAUAUGUGAUUAUUGUUACAGGAACUAACACCAGACAAUUAAAUGUUGAGGUGUUGAUAGAUAAAGCUGUGUUUCGAUUUGCAUAAACACGAUGCCAGCAAAUCUAACCCUGGCAGAAAUUCAGUUUUAAGACUUGGGCACCUACCGUCUGCUAAUUACUGCAAGUAGCAUUAGGACAAUUUUUAAUAUUUCAGCGUUGGGAUUAUAGCCAUUUUAUGUUAGGGUCACAUUUAUCUUUAUUUUGGAAACUUAGUCAAAAAUGCAUAACUGAUUUAUUGGAGAAAAGGCACGGCUACUACUUAUAAUCAACUUCUACAGUGCAGUGUAUCAAAAAUCAAUUAUACAGCCCCGAAAAUCCAGUCAUUAAGGAUUUAGCUGCUAAUCUCAUUUCAUUUUUGUCUUCAGGAAGAUACUGCGGCUUGCAACUUUGCAGAUACCAGCAGAGGACGAAAAACAUGGGAGACUGCUGAUAACCUAAUGUGGAGACUUAAACUCCAACGAGACAAAAGCAGAAUCUUAAUAUGGAGUGGCCCAGCGCUGCAGGGAGGUCACCUGGGCUGGUUGGAUUUCGAUCCAAUAAUACGGCACAAGUAAUGACCCAAGUUUUGUGUACGGGCCGAUCCACUGCAAAUCAAGCCCAGGAUUCUUCAAGAAAAUCAAGAGAAAAAGCAACCUUUCUGCCCCUCAUGCGUUUGCAGCUGACUCCACCGCUGAUGCCACCUCCACUCAAGAGAAAUCUGAAGAGACUCCACUAGUACGAGGAAAACGUCACCUGCACAAUUCCUCUUCUUGCUUGUCCUGGACUGUCAUGUCAAACAGCAACAGUAACCAUGGGGUAGUCAGAAGCCUUUGAGAACCUAGUCUGGGCAUGAGUUUGCUAAGGUCUCUGUGAUUAUAGGACAACCACCUCAUCACACGGAUGCUUGGAAGAGAGAUGCAGAAUGGGACUAAAGAACCACCUCCCUAACAAAACCAAGGUGAGUUCAAGAGAGUAAAACAGCCUUGGAGAAGGUAACCAGUUGUGCUGGUUUGGCAGGGAGUGCUGGUGAUGGAGAGGUGGAGGCAGAGGGUGAGGUGGGGGUGUGUGUGAAAACUGACAUUUUCAGGUAAAUGUGUAUACUUCCAAAUAACUUGACAUUUGGUUUGGUAUAGAUGACAUUCUCCUGCAUCUGGUUUUCUCUAAGACUGACCUCUUGUAGAGUUAGUUUGUAGUGGACUAAAACAGCAAGAUGAGGGCUGCAAGGUCUCUGGAGGUCCUGCUAGGCUUGGUAGCUCACACCUCUGGGCUUGGCUGAG
Sus scrofa (pig) is the source of this 4253-nucleotide non-coding RNA. Lineage: Eukaryota; Metazoa; Chordata; Mammalia; Artiodactyla; Suidae. The record is from RefSeq and is a predicted model, not a curated record.